RNAcentral lists this unclassified non-coding RNA (344 nucleotides) under soil metagenome. RNAcentral describes it as "partial contains 5.8S ribosomal RNA, internal transcribed spacer 2, and large subunit ribosomal RNA". The stretch from base 1 to 121 matches the Rfam family "5.8S ribosomal RNA", at positions 35 to 154 of the family's 154-position model. The record is from RNAcentral.
GAUGAAGAACGUAGCGAAAUGCGAUAAGUAAUGCGAAUUGCAGAAUUUCCGUGAGUCAUCGAAUCUUUGAACGCACAUUGCGCCCACUGGUAUUCCGGUGGGCAUGCCUGUUCGAGCGUCAUUAUCCUCCCUCAAACCCCGGGUUUGGUGUUGGACCCAAGUUGUGUGAACAACUGGUCUUAAAGACAAUGACGGCGUCCGUGGGACCCUCGGUGCAACGAGCUUUUAGGAGCACGCAUCGAGUUGCAAGGACCUUCCGGGCCGGUCUCCUUUACUAUUUUACAAGGUUGACCUCGGAUCAGGUAGGAAUACCCGCUGAACUUAAGCAUACAAUAAGCGGAGGA